Molecule: ribosomal RNA, 254 nt
Filed under: uncultured bacterium
Lineage: Bacteria
Description: partial 16S ribosomal RNA
Rfam family: Bacterial small subunit ribosomal RNA
Source: RNAcentral
UACGUAGGCAGCCAGCGUUGUUCGGACUUACUGGGCGUAAAGGGUGCGUAGGCGGUUAUUUACGUUUGGUGUGAAAUCUCCCGGCUCAACCGGGAGGGUGCGCCGAAUACUGAAUGACUUGGAGUGCGGGAGAGGAAAGUGGAAUUCCUGGUGUAGCGGUGAAAUGCGUAGAUAUCAGGAGGAACACCGGUGGUGUAGACGGCUUUCUGGACCGUAACUGACGCUGAGACACGAAAGCGUGGGUAGCAAACAGG